Long non-coding RNA from Magnolia sinica, 510 nucleotides. RefSeq lists it as uncharacterized. The transcript is spliced from 3 exons. The record is from RefSeq and is a predicted model, not a curated record. NCBI's taxonomy places the organism in Eukaryota, Viridiplantae, Streptophyta, Magnoliopsida, Magnoliales, Magnoliaceae.
UGAAGCUUGUACUUCUGGACACUCCAGUAGCUAAUUCGAGUUUUAAUAUCAUUUAUUUUCAACUUGCAUAUGAAUUCAUAUUUUGUUUUUGUUAUUUAUGAUAUUUUUGUUUAAUUUUGUUAUUUCAUUUGGGUCACUGAUUAUUAAAAAAAAUUAAUACAGACUCUUAACAUAUGCAUGCUAUAUAUCCAAUGGACUCUAUAUGGUUCACAUAUUCCCCUCCUCUCUCUGCCUCUCUCUGCAAUUUGGGGUCAGCUUUUAAAUGGUAGAUUGGCAGAAGUUCCAUGAUCACCUGCCUGCUAGACACCAGCCAUCAUUUUAUCCUCGGGCUGCUUGGUAGCGGUGCAGCCUAAACCAUCAGGCGUUGAAGAGGCUAAAGAGAAGGAAUAGAAAAGGGGUUAAGGUAGUGGUGCUGUCUGAACCAUCAGCUUCUGAGGUAGGAGCAUUGAAGAGGCAAAAGAAAAGGGACCAAAAAGGAGAAGGUGCCAACUUGUGGCACCCUUAUUUUCA